Molecule: long non-coding RNA, 462 nt
Organism: Cloeon dipterum
Lineage: Eukaryota; Metazoa; Arthropoda; Insecta; Ephemeroptera; Baetidae
Exons: 4
Source: RefSeq, a predicted model, not a curated record
AUCGAUUGGAAACUGUCUAAAAAACUCACAUUGCAGCCACUCAGGGUUUGGUUUACUGGUUGGCAAUGACUCGAGAUGGAUGUCCUCUUCACUUCGAAAACUGCCUCCACAACACAUCAUCGGAAUUGCUCGACACCAUUAUCUGUGGAAUCCGAAAAGGAGGCUCUUGUGUGGCCGUGGCGAACCGAGACUACUCAAUUAAAAAAUACAUCGGCACGAGUCUGAUAGUGAAAUCCACCGCUUGUUCCUCCAAACUGCUGCUGGGCUGCGAAGGAUCGGCACAGACCUUCGAAAUCAGGGUGGACACAAACAAUUGCGAUCUGCCAGAGUGCACAGAGCUACCCAAUUGCGUAAUGAAAGAUGAAUUGUCCAUCGCCCAAAGAUCCUUGGUUGCACCCUGGCGUCACGGGAAUUGGCAUUCAUGUUGCGACAACAACAUCCUCGAGCUGCAUAAUGAAUAUG